UUGAUGACUCCUACCGAGUCAUGGAAUUCACCAGUGGUGACAAGUGCUGGAAUGGCCCUGAUAGAAGUAUGAAGGUUAGGCUCAGAUGCGGAUUGAAAAAUGAGCUUACUGACGUUGAUGAACCAAGCAGAUGCGAGUAUGUGGCUAUACUGUCGACUCCCGCCUUGUGCUCGGAAGAGAAACUUAAGGAAUUACAGGAAAAACUAGAGCAGAUGAACAGAAGCCAACCGCCUGGUCAUGACGAACUCUGAGUUGUCUGCAAACUUUUUCUUUUUUGAAGGGAAAUAUAGUUAUUUUUGGCGAUGGCUGCAUAUAGGCCAUCCAAAUCUGGUGAACAACAAUCGGCCUUGCAAUUAUUAAGAAUUUUUCGAGCUCGCUUCUUGGAGAUGUUGUAACUUAUUCCCCCUUAAAUUUG
This 415-nucleotide unclassified non-coding RNA is filed under the name Hevea brasiliensis (rubber tree). The record is from RNAcentral. Lineage: Eukaryota; Viridiplantae; Streptophyta; Magnoliopsida; Malpighiales; Euphorbiaceae.